RNAcentral lists this long non-coding RNA (323 nucleotides) under Phasianus colchicus (ring-necked pheasant). RNAcentral's name for it is "lncRNA (ENSPCLG00000006668.1)". The record is from RNAcentral. Lineage: Eukaryota; Metazoa; Chordata; Aves; Galliformes; Phasianidae.
UUUUUAUGCAGCACACAUGCCAUAAUCUAUUCCAAUGUGAUACUUCAGUGCAAAUAUUAAACUCAUAAUCUGUGAUUGAGAAAAAGAAUAUUGGUUGGAGCUGAAACUCAAAGAAUGGAGGAAAAUUUUCUGUUAACUGAAAAGUGAAGCCCACCAAUGGCAUUUAGUAAAGCAUCCCUAGUAGAAAAGGCAGCAUCUGAGACAGAGGAUGUAGGAAGUUCCUCUUAAGCAUGAGUGGGCAGCUGGGCUGGUUCUUCAGAAGAGGUGAAACACAUUGCUUAAAUUCUUUCCAAGAAACUGCAUCAUUCUUCAGCUUCCCUUAA